GUUCUGUAUUACAGGCACUGUACGUUUACUGUAAUGAAAAGAUGCUCUGGGGACCACAGAGCUAGCAGUAUAUUCCAGCAGCCUGAUUAUCAUACCAUCUUAAAAACAGUGAUAGUAACUUUCUGAUGUCAUUUGGGGAAUUUUGGGAGUAACUAUGAGACUCACCAUAGUUGCAAAAGAGAUACUGUUGCUUGCCUAAAAGGGGGACUAACUUGAACCGAUGGAUUUUAGCAUCUUGUUCUAGAUCAUCGUAGAUUGUAGUCAACAGGGGCCUUGGGCUUUAACUCUCAGAAUUUAGACAUUUUCAUAAAAUGUAUCUUCAAUACAUACUUUUGCUAUACUGAGCCAUAUGAAAGUCCCUCGUCUAUGUAUUAUUGUUUUCUUUCCUCCCCGGAAAAGAUGAGUCAAUUUAAGAAACUUUGUCUAUUUCUGUAUUCCAGUUGGAUGUUCUUUCCAAAUUCUAACAUUUAAAUACUAGUAUUAAGAAGACAGAUUAAAAUAUUGCUAAAUUAAGUCUUUUUUCAAGUUUGAAUAUGAGGCGAUGUAACAACUGAAGUAUAAUAUAACUUUCAAAAGGUUAGAUUAAAUUGAUUCUAUACGUUUUACUCAUUGAUAUUUUAGCAGUAAAAUACAAUUCAACACUAGACUUGAAAAUUACUUACAAAUAAAUAUAUUAUAUAUAAUUUUGAGUUUUUACAUUUGCACCCAGUUCUCUCAAGGAUUUUUUUUUUGUAUUGCCAGCUCAAAAUUGAUAAUGUUUUGUAGUAAGCAAUUGUAAUUUUUAAUUCUUCUUCAGGAACCCCUAUGAACAUUGAAUAUUAUCUAUCUCCCUAUCAAGUUCUGGAAGAAGAGCUGAAUCCUGGCUCCCAAGUAUGUGGAACCAAAGUAUUUGUAACUGUUGCAAGUUCAAACACAACACACAAACUUCCCAUUUCUCCGUUAAUUGUGGAUUCUCAGGCAGGAGAUGGGUGAGAUUCAAAGGCACUAUUGACAUUUCUGAACAUAUAAAUGGACUUUCAAAUCAUUGGUAUUAAACCCUG
This 1040-nucleotide long non-coding RNA is filed under the name Gopherus agassizii (Agassiz's desert tortoise). RNAcentral's name for it is "lncRNA (ENSGAGG00000013599.1)". The record is from RNAcentral. Lineage: Eukaryota; Metazoa; Chordata; Testudines; Testudinidae.